This 468-nucleotide ribosomal RNA is filed under the name uncultured bacterium. RNAcentral describes it as "partial 16S ribosomal RNA". It matches the Rfam family "Bacterial small subunit ribosomal RNA", at positions 28 to 507 of the family's 1533-position model. The record is from RNAcentral.
GACGAACGCUGGCGGCGUGCUUAAUACAUGCAAGUCGAACGGAAAGGCCCUGCUCUUGUGGGGUGCUCGAGUGGCGAACGGGUGAGUAACACGUGAGUAACCUGCCCUUGACUUUGGGAUAACUUCAGGAAACUGGGGCUAAUACCGGAUAGGAGCUCCUGCUGCAUGGGGGGGGAUGGAAAGUUUCGGCGGUGGGGGAUGGACUCGCGGCUUAUCAGCUUGUUGGUGGGGUAGUUGCUUACCAAGGCUUUGACGGAUAGCCGGCCUGAGAGGGUUGCCGGCCACAUUGGGACUGCGAUACGGCCCAGACUCCUACGGGAGGCAGCAGUCGGGAAUAUUGCACAAUGGGCGGAAGCCUGAUGCGGCAACGCCGCGUGCGGGAUGACGGCCUUCGGGUUGUAAACCGCUUUCGCCUGUGACGAAGCGUGAGUGACGGUAAUGGGUAAAGAAGCACCGGCUAACUACGUG